Molecule: ribosomal RNA, 451 nt
Filed under: uncultured bacterium
Lineage: Bacteria
Description: partial 16S ribosomal RNA
Rfam family: Bacterial small subunit ribosomal RNA
Source: RNAcentral
AGCGAACGCUGGCGGCAGGCUUAACACAUGCAAGUCGAGCGGGCAUAGCAAUAUGUCAGCGGCAGACGGGUGAGUAACGCAUGGGAACGUACCUUUUGGUUCGGAACAACACAGGGAAACUUGUGCUAAUACCUGAUAAGCCCUUACGGGGAAAGAUUUAUCGCCGAAAGAUCGGCCCGCGUCUGAUUAGCUAGUUGGUGAGGUAAUGGCUCACCAAGGCGACGAUCAGUAGCUGGUCUGAGAGGAUGAUCAGCCACAUUGGGACUGAGACACGGCCCAAACUCCUACGGGAGGCAGCAGUGGGGAAUAUUGGACAAUGGGCGCAAGCCUGAUCCAGCCAUGCCGCGUGAGUGAUGAAGGCCCUAGGGUUGUAAAGCUCUUUUGUGCGGGAAGAUAAUGACGGUACCGCAAGAAUAAGCCCCGGCUAACUUCGUGCCAGCCGCCGCAGUAA